This is a long non-coding RNA of Megalops cyprinoides (Indo-Pacific tarpon), 370 nucleotides long. RefSeq lists it as uncharacterized. The transcript has 3 exons. NCBI's taxonomy places the organism in Eukaryota, Metazoa, Chordata, Actinopteri, Elopiformes, Megalopidae. The record is from RefSeq and is a predicted model, not a curated record.
AAUCCGCUCUGUUUCGCUCAACUCGCUCUCUCUUACCGCUUUUGACUGUGAAACCAGUCCCAGGUCCCAAUGUCUAGUGCCAUGGAAUGAAGAAUUAGGAGAAGCAGGUAAAGAUUCAAGGACCACGGUCCCUGAAGUGUCGACCUCUGGAGUUUCAAUUGGUGGAACUCACAAUUCUGAAUUCCCCAGUUCCACAACCCCCGAUUCUGGAACCUCAACAUCCGGAGCAACAAGAUCUGGAGCUCUAAGGUCCGAAACAUCAAGAUCAAGAGCUUCAUCAUCCAGAGGGGUGAGAUCUGGCUUACAGACUUGGAGAACAUUGAAGAUGUAGCACUUUCACAACACUGGAGCGAUGACAGCGGCAGCCAGC